GAUGAACGCUGGCGGCAUGCCUAAGACAUGCAAGUCGUACGAAGUGGCCCAUUGAUGAUUGAGUGCUUGCACAAGAUUUGAUUUGGAUUCCCACUUAGUGGCGCAAGGGUGAGUAACGCGUAGGUUAUCUGCCUUCGAGUUUGGAAUAACAAUUAGAAAUGAUUGCUAAUGCCGGAUUAUAUUUAAGAUGAUACGUUGUCUUAAAUUAAAAAGGAGCCUUUAAAAGCUUCGCUUGAAGAUGAGCCUGCGUCGUAUUAGCUAGUUGGUGGGUAAUGGCUACCAAGGCAACGAUGCGUAGCCGACCUGAGAGGUGAUCGGCCACACUGGGACUGAGACACGGCCCAGACU
This 348-nucleotide ribosomal RNA is filed under the name uncultured bacterium. RNAcentral describes it as "bacterial SSU rRNA". It matches the Rfam family "Bacterial small subunit ribosomal RNA", at positions 28 to 337 of the family's 1533-position model. The record is from RNAcentral.